Molecule: long non-coding RNA, 1883 nt
Organism: Mirounga angustirostris (Northern elephant seal)
Lineage: Eukaryota; Metazoa; Chordata; Mammalia; Carnivora; Phocidae
Exons: 4
Source: RefSeq, a predicted model, not a curated record
GGACCUCCAGUUCAAGGAGCUGGAUAUCUACCAGACCACCCUGAACACCCACGAAAUCAGCCUGAGAUGUAAGAAGAUAGAUCUGGAUCUGUACAAACAGAAUAUCGCAGGCGGUUGGUUUCGAGACAGAGAGAGAGAGUGAGUGAGAGAGAGAGAGAGAACGAGUGGGGAGAAGCAGAAGGAGAAGCAGACUCCCCGCUGAGCGAGGAGCCCCACGCGAGACUCGAUCCCAGGACCCUGAGAUCAUGACCUGAGCGGAAGGCAGACGCGUAACCGACUGAGCCACCCGGGCGCCCCUCCACCACACUUCAUACUAAAUCUCCACAGGAACCCAGUGGGUCAGUGUGCGUUCGCACGCACACGUGUACAUAACACAAACCGACCCAGAAAGAUAGCGACCUAGCUGAUUCAUAAAGAUUCUUAGCAGCCGUGCGGUCAGCAUCGUAAGGCUUCAGUCCCUUACCCCGACGGUCCGAAAUGGCUUCCUUAUGCCCGGAGCUAGCGCAGGGCCGGGCAUGGAGAGCUUCCAGGGUAAGUCACAGCACAGCGGUGCCCUGCUCCUUUUGGAGACCGGGUGGGCUCCCUAAAAUGUCUUCCUAAGCCCUGGCCCUAGCCAGGACCCCUGUGAUUGCUCAGCAGGCCAGCCAGUGAAAGGCUCCCGGCCGCAGCGGAGGGUGGGUUCCUCCACCGGUGACCCUUCCUGCACCUUCAGCGUCUCUGCUUGCGGAGCUCCGAGGCCAGGAGAGAAGCCACCAGGAGUUGUUUUUGGAUGUGGCCAGCCUAGUUUCCCACUGAGUGUCUGCUAGAAGAGCAUCUUAGAAGUGUCUUAAGAACUCUGCUCUCAUAGCUGCGGUUCACUGGAGUGUGGACACUGUUUUAAAGUAAGAAAGUCGCGGUGGGGCUCUGUCUGGGGGCCCCCUCCAGCCAUCUGACUCCCAGCAGCCCCACCAGCCGUAGGAUUCAAAUCACCUCCUCCUCUAUCUUCCCCAUUCUCUUCCUCCCUUUAUGAGUCUUUUUUCUCUUAGGAGUACUCUCUAAACACCUCAGCCAAGUUUUCAGGGUGUUUUCGAUUUUCUAUUUUUUUAAAAAUUAAGCUUUCUUAAUUAAGCGUAACGUGCAUACAGAAAACCACACAUGCCCUGAGGGUUCAGUUCAAAGAAUGUUCACAAAGCAAGCAGACGAGUGUAGCAAGCACUCAGAUGAGGAAACAGAAUAUGAGCAGCAUCCCAGAAACCGCCUCUGUGUCCCUUCCAGUCACUCCACUCCCACAAGAGUAACCCUCAAAUGACCUCUGUUACUGUACAUUGAUUUUGCUUAGUUUUCAGAUUGACUGAAAUGUACUCAUGCAACAGAAUCUCUGUGGGACUCACGUAUGUCGAGUGCGGAAUUGCUGAAGAGGACUCAAAUUUGUGGUUUUCUCUGAAAGAACCCUCAAAGAAUACCCAGCGCAAAGGACUUUUACAACCAGCGUUGAGUGUGGAUGAGAGAUCUGAGGGCCUCUGACCUUGUGAGCUGAGCGGAGCUCGAGGUGGAAGGUGAAGAGCUACCCAGUCCCUGCUCUGCUCUGAGAUGUGCUCCCAGGACAGUCCCAACUUCUGCUCUCUCUUAAUCCCUGGUUCGGUGAUUGGAAUGAUGACAGAUUAAAUAUCAGUUGUUUGCUUAGGCUGAUUCCACAGGCUGGGGCAGUUUCCACUUGUCUAGAAGACACGGAGGCCCAGAGUAAUCAGUUGCUUCUGGAGGCGAGCGGUGGUAAAUGUGCCUACACACCUCGAUUAAUCCUCUAGCAACCCCACCAAGUGGCCAGCAGGCGGAUUGCCGUGCCCACUGCGGACAGGAGGCAAUGAAGAGUCCGGAAUGCCAAGUGAAUUGUACAAGGUCACAGG